UCAGCAGCCGCGGUAAUUCCAGCUCUGUAAGCGUAUACCAAAGUUGUUGCAGUUAAAACGCUCGUAGUCGGACUUUGGCAAUUCCGGAUGUGUGCGCGUCGUGCGCGCACUUCGCAGGGGUUGCUUUUGUGGGCAUGCGUGGGAUGAGGCAACUUUAUUGUUGAACGUCCCUACGCAACCACCUUUUACUGUGAGAAAAUUAGAGUGUUCAAAGCAGGCAAUUGCCGUGAAUACAUUAGCAUGGAAUAAUAGAAUAGGACUCGGUCUUAUUUUGUUGGUUUGUUAGGGCUGAGUAAUGAUUAAGAGGGACAGUUGGGGGCAUUUGUAUUCCGGCGCUAGAGGUGAAAUUCUUAGAUUGCCGGAAGACAAACUGCUGCGAAAGCGUCUGCCAAGGAUGUUUUCAUUGAUCAAGAACGAAAGUAAGGGGAUCGAAGACGAUCAGAUACCGUCGUAGUCUUUACUAUAAACGAUGAGGACUGGGGAUCGGGCGAGGAAUAUCGAUGACCCGCCCGGCACCCUCCGGGAAACCAAAGUGUUUGCUUUCUGGGGGGAGUAUGGUCGCAAGGCUGAAACUUAAAGGAAUUGACGGAAGGGCAUCACCGGGUGUGGAGCCUGCGGCUUAAUUUGACUCA
This 632-nucleotide ribosomal RNA is filed under the name Bossiella sp. RNAcentral's name for it is "SSU rRNA". It matches the Rfam family "Eukaryotic small subunit ribosomal RNA", at positions 567 to 1202 of the family's 1831-position model. The record is from RNAcentral. Lineage: Eukaryota; Rhodophyta; Florideophyceae; Corallinales; Corallinaceae.